GCACAAGCGGUGGAGCAUGUGGUUUAAUUCGAUGCAACGCGAAAAACCUUACCCACCUUUGACAUGUACGGAAGUUGCCAGAGAUGGCUUCGUGCUCGAAAGAGAGCCGUAACACAGGUGCUGCAUGGCUGUCGUCAGCUCGUGUCGUGAGAUGUUGGGUUAAGUCCCGCAACGAGCGCAACCCUUGUCAUUAGUUGCUACGAAAGGGCACUCUAAUGAGACUGCCGGUGACAAACCGGAGGAAGGUGGGGAUGACGUCAAGUCCUCAUGGCCCUUAUAGGUGGGGCUACACACGUCAUACAAUGGCUGGUACAAAGGGUUGCCAACCCGCGAGGGGGAGCUAAUCCCAUAAAGCCAGUCGUAGUCCGGAUCGCAGUCUGCAACUCGACUGCGUGAAGUCGGAAUCGCUAGUAAUCGUGGAUCAGCAUGUCACGGUGAAUACGUUCCCGGGC
Molecule: ribosomal RNA, 452 nt
Filed under: uncultured bacterium
Lineage: Bacteria
Description: bacterial SSU rRNA
Rfam family: Bacterial small subunit ribosomal RNA
Source: RNAcentral